AUUUGUUUCUCAUCCCUUUGUUCCUGUUGAGAUUGAUGAAGAAAGAAGGAAGAAGAAGAUUGGGCGUGGAAAGCAUGAUUAUUCCCUCAAGCAGAUGAGGUUAUAUAUUGCUAAAAUACAAUAGGUAUGGAAUGCAACCAAAUAAAUCAUUCCUAUAACCACUGCACAAUGCUAGCCAUAAAUCAUAGCAAAUAAUCAUUGCCAAUAUCUCAGUACUCACCCUCAAGCUGGAGUAUACAUAUUUAGAGCUAAACAUUUGGUCGGUUCGGUUUUGAAUAAACCAAAAACUGAAUUUCAUAUAAAAUUAAAAACUGAACCGAACCGAACUAUGUAAACAAUCGAACCGAAUCAAAUCGACAUAAAUUGAUUUGGUUUGGUUCGAAUAUUCAGUUUUUCAAAUUUCCCUUCUUUCUUUUACGCUCAAAUCACAACAGAUCACAAAAAUCACAAGAAAAAAAUUACGAAUUUCCAUAAACAUAGCAUUGAUACUAAUAAAAAAAAUUUUUCAUUAAUAGAAAAUUGAUAAACAUUUACAUUUUAACUAAAAAUCACAAUAUUACAAAAUUGUAGCAAAUGAAUUAAAAAAUGAAGAUGUUUAUGACUAUCAAUUGUGAGCAUCUAUUUGUGGGCGCAAGGAGGCUAAUGGUAGGAAUAAUAUGUUAAUUUUGUCUUCUUUUCCGCUAGGGGAGGAAUGAAUCAAACAAGUGAACCACAUUGUUCAAAGCGAUCCAAGUGAGACUGGGACUGCCUUCAUGCGAUUCAAUUAUUCGUUUGUUCGAUCCAGGUUUAAACCGAUAUGAUCAAAUAAAGAAAAGAAAUGAACAUGCAAAGCUUGAUAGAAAUGAAGAAUCGACUAGGUUGGACUUGGAACGAGAUUAAAAAACAAGAUGAAGGAGAAGAACAGAUGAAGGAGAAGAAGAGGUGAAGAAAUGCAGAAAUAUAAAGAAUGUGAGAGAAGGGACUUGAGUGGCAGCAGUAGAUGAUAAGAAGGGAAGAGAAGGUAGGGUUUGUGAGAAUACAUGUGAUAGGAAUGGAUGGUUGAGAUGAAUUGUUUAAGGAUGAAUGGUUAGGAUUUAAUCUUCAAUAAAAAGUGAAAAAAGAAAAGAAGGUGAGAGGUGGGCCUCGAACUCAGAACCUUAAAGUGUUAAAAAUGUUAUGUAACCACUGAGCUAAAACAUAGAAAUGUAUAUUUAAAAUCUUCAAUAUUUAUUUAUAUCGGUUCAAUUCUAUCAAAAUCAUUUUCUCCAAAACCAAAUUAAAUUAACUGAAAUUCUUAAAAAUAAAACCGAAUUAAAUUGAUUUCUCAUAUAAACUAAACCAAAUGACCGAAUUAAUUGGUUCGGUUGGUUAUUUCGGUUCAAACCGAAUAGUGCUUACCCCAAUACAUAUCAUUUUUCCCAGCUUCUUACAAAUGUAAUCAAUCCUAGAACUUUUGAGGAAUUUAGUAAGGAUAUGUGCUAAACUAGUUUGAAUUGAUGAAGCUUUCUUCUGCCUGAUAAAGUAACAAUCCGCCUAUAUAUGUUUCGUCCUUUGAUUAAAACCUAGAUUUGAGGCAAUAUGCAAUGAUGCUUGAUCGUUACUAAUUGACUUCAUUUGUUUGACGUCUCCAUAUAUCAAUUCUUGAAGAAGCUGUUUUAAGUUUAAUCAGAUAAGCUCACAAGUAGCUAAGGCCAUGGCUUGGUUUUUUGCUUUUGCAUUCGAUCUAGCCACUACAUCUUGCUUUUUACUCUUUUUCUUUUUUUUUUUCCUCAAAUAUUAGAUUCCCUCAAUUAGGGCACAAUACCCUAAAGUAUAUUGUUUGAGGUAGAACCUACCUAGUCUUCCAACAAUCUUUGUAUGUCUUCCAUUUUCAUAUGACAGGUCUCACCCUGGGGCUCCUGUAUCUACCGAUGCGGAUUACUGCAUUCCAGUGACUAUCGCAUGAAGUUUGAAGAAACUGACACUAGCCACACUUAAAACAAAAGAAAUGUUUGGUCAUGUGAUUGUGCGAUAAUUAAGUUUGCAAACUAGUCUCCGAUAUUUACUAUGGUCUUUUAGUGGCUCUCCUUGUCAAGGAACAAGUUUAACAUUUAGAUCCAUUAGGGUAUCUUCGUGUUUACAGCCUAACAAGCUGAUCUUUUCUCGUAUAUUCAAUGGAUAUUUCCUGUGUAAAAUAGCAAUGCUUUUAUUGGAUUAUGGUACUUCAAUAUCCAAAAAAUAUUUUAGCUUCCCUAAAUUCAAGUCUAAAUCUUAUUCCAUUUGUGACCCAGAGGUCAUGUUUUCAAGCCAUGAAAACAACCUCUUUGCAAAACAAAGGUAUGGCUGAGUGCAUCAACUCUCAGAGCCCAUAAGCAUGAGACUAUGUAGCACAGAAACGGAAAUGGAAACGCGGAUACGAGGAAAUGCGGAAACGGACAAGGGAAAAUGGCAUUUUAAAAAAUAUAAGAACCGGAAAUGUGAGCAAACGUGCAAUAUAUAUAUAUAUAUAAAAUACAAAUUAUACAAUAAAUUAUUAUCAAAAUCAAAAUUAAAACACAAAACCCAUUAAACCAAUACACAACAGCUAAUCAAUCACAAAUUCAAAAUCAUUAACCUAAUAUAAAAACUCCAGUUUUACCAACACCAAUUUCUUGAAAUACUCAGUGCAAAAGCUUGUGUGAUACCGUGAACCAAGGGAAUGCUCUGCCUUACAAGAUGGGAUGGGAAGUUGGGAACUUUGGGAAGCAGGAAGGCAAAAAGAGGUAAAUCUACUCACCUGCGGUCCUGUGGUGCUUGCUGCCAUCGUCGCCCCCGCCAACGUCAGUUGCCUCACCGUCAUUAGUGGCCAGCAACAGAUGCAUUUCUUCUUUGAAAAUGCAUAUUUGGUUCUCCAUAUUUGCGGAAACGGCCCGGAAACGUCUUGCCGGCAUGUCUUUGCAUUUUCGAGCUGAAAUCGUUUCCGACAUGGGGAAACCUCACCCUGUGCCAUUUCCAUGCAUCAUAGAUGUGUUAUCCGCGUACAGAAAGCACAGCCUACCCUUCCUCAUUUGACUUCAAAGGCACACUUGGUGCACUGGCAAACAAUUCAAUGUGGGGUAACUGUGUCCGGAGAUUGCUUGCUGAGGGCUAUCAAAAACCUCGAUUAGGAACUGAUGCAGGUGACCAUCCUCCUAUUACUCCAAUCUGUUUAGCAACUGAGGAUAUGCUAGGCAUAGAUGCUUGGAGACUAUAUCAGUAUGUCUGUCAACAUUUUAUAGCGUCUCUGUCUCCUGACUGCAAGUAUGUAAGGACUAAGGUGGAAUUUUCUGUUGGGAGAGAGUUCUUCCAUUGCAUAGGGAAGCAUGUUACAGUGGAAGGAUUCACGUCUAUUAUGCCAUGGUUGGCUGUAAGUGAUAAAAAUCUUCCUCGAUUUGCAAUGGGGGAGAAAAUAGAAGUUUCAAAAGUGGAGCUAUUUGAGGGCAAAACUGCUCCUCCAGAUUAUCUCAGUGAGAGUGAACUGAUUUCUCUGAUGGAGAAGAAUGGAAUAGGCACAGAUGCUUCAAUACCUGUACAUAUUAACAACAUAUGUGAACGUAACUAUGUGCAGGUACAAGCUGGCAGGAAGUUGGUUCCAACUACGUUAGGUAUCACCCUGAUAAGAGGCUAUCAAUGCAUUGAUCCGGAUCUAUGUUUACCUGAUAUUCGUAGUUUCAUUGAGCAACAGAUUACCCUUGUUGCCAAGGGCCAGGCAGAUCAUUCACGUGUUGUGCAGCAUGUACUACAACAAUUCAAGCAAAAGUACUGUUACUUUGUUAAGCAGAUCGACAAGAUGGAUGGAUUGUUUGAAGCACAAUUCUCUCAACUUUUUGACUCGGGCCGUGUUCUUAGUAAAUGUGGUAAAUGCCUGAGGUACAUGAAGUACAUUUCUUCUAUACCAUCACGUCUUUAUUGUGGUACAUGUGAGGAGGUUUAUUAUCUUCCUCAGAAGGGCACAAUCAAGCUAUACAAGGAACUAACAUGCCCUUUAGACAACUUUGAGCUGUUGAUAUUCUCCAUGGCUGGGCCAGAAGGCAAGACGUUCCCUUUCUGUCCACACUGCUACAAUAGUCCUCCUUUUGAAGGUAUAGAUACAUUGUUUGGUGCAAGUGAGACUGGUAAUUUCGGCAAGUUAGGGAAGGGAGCAGGUAUGCCAUGCUUCCUCUGCCCACAUCCAACAUGCAGACAUUCUCAGAUAGCUCAAGGAGUUUGUGCUUGUCCGGAAUGCAGUGGAACACUUGUUUUGGACCCAUUAAGUGCACCCAAGUGGAGACUUUAUUGCAAUAUGUGCAAUUGCCUUGUCUUGCUCCCUCAAGGUGCUCAUCGGAUAGCUACUACUCGGGAAAGGUGCCCUGAAUGUGAUUCAACAAUCAUAGAAGUGGACUUCAAUAAGAAUACAACGCCAUUGGAAGAUGGAGCUACCUUGCAUAUUGGUUGCAUUCUUUGUGAUGAUUUGCUUCAUUCACUUGUGGAGGUGAAGCACGGUAAAUCAUUUUUUAAACGCUUGGGUUUGAGUGGAAGGGGAAGACGAACGGGGAGAGGUGGUUACCGGGGAAGAGGACGGGGUUUUGGAAAAAGAGGGGACCCUAAAAUGAGCUUUCGGGAUUUCUAAUAUGCUCUAGAUAAAAUAAAUUAUUUUCAAUAGAACCUAUUUAUAUAUAU
This 4635-nucleotide unclassified non-coding RNA is filed under the name Hevea brasiliensis (rubber tree). Lineage: Eukaryota; Viridiplantae; Streptophyta; Magnoliopsida; Malpighiales; Euphorbiaceae. The record is from RNAcentral.